Sinocyclocheilus grahami is the source of this 378-nucleotide long non-coding RNA. RefSeq lists it as uncharacterized. The transcript has 4 exons. Lineage: Eukaryota; Metazoa; Chordata; Actinopteri; Cypriniformes; Cyprinidae. The record is from RefSeq and is a predicted model, not a curated record.
GCCUACUUGGAUAGCAUGGGAACUCCAUCUUUUGGGCAUCAUUUUCGUGGUAAUGACAGAGGUUGUACUGGUACAGUUAUUGAUCUCCUCGUCUAGUGAUUCAGAUGCUUGGGGCCUUUGUGUUCUUUACUUCAUUGUCCAUUUCAGCACAGAAGCAAACAUUACAAGGAGUUCUGUGAACUUAUGAUUCGUAUGAUAACUUAAGACUCCAUCUGCUCAACUCUACAGACGUACAGUACAGAGAGCUUCACUGGCCUUGCACGCUGCUGAGAGUGAAUGGGAAUUCAACUCAAGGCAUGCUGGUUAAAUGAAAGCGUAUAAUGGACAAGGUGGAUGACAAGUUAAAUGGCCUGGAAGGUAAAAGCUGGAAUGUUUGGA